ACCCGCUGAACUUAAGCAUAUCAAUAAGCGGAGGAAAAGAAACUAACCAGGAUUCCCCUAGUAGCGGCGAGCGAACCGGGAAGAGCCCAACUUGAAAAUCUCCAGGCUUUGCCUGGCGAAUUGUAGUCUAUAG
RNAcentral lists this ribosomal RNA (133 nucleotides) under [Myrmecia] bisecta. RNAcentral's name for it is "partial 26S ribosomal RNA". It matches the Rfam family "Eukaryotic large subunit ribosomal RNA", at positions 23 to 155 of the family's 3401-position model. Lineage: Eukaryota; Viridiplantae; Chlorophyta; Trebouxiophyceae; Trebouxiales; Trebouxiaceae. The record is from RNAcentral.